Long non-coding RNA from Heterocephalus glaber (naked mole-rat), 2055 nucleotides. The record is from Ensembl. Lineage: Eukaryota; Metazoa; Chordata; Mammalia; Rodentia; Bathyergidae.
CGGAAAUCAGAGACACCGAGUGCUGGGAUAGAAGAGGGACUAGGUGACCUGGAGAGCAGUGGCCAAACAGGGAGGGGACUUACUGGGCUGAGCGGAUCAGAAUUCAAGCAAGGUUAGUGAGAACCUUGUCUUCAGGCUUUUGUCUAAGUGCCCCUCGCCAGAGCCUCAUGUGCUCACAGACGUGGCUUUUGAAAGGAGUUUGGGUCAGGGGGCUGCUGUAGCUAAACGUGUUGUUAGGAGGUGGGGCCAGGUGGGGCCUGGUCGGAAGAGGAGGAUCACUAGACCUUGCCUCUCUAACCCUAUCUAACCUUCCCUCCGAGCUACCCCUUCUCUCUCUGCUUCCCCUCCACGAAGCCCCUCUGCCCUGCUAUUUCUUUGGAGCCAGCAAACCAUGGACCGAAACACCUGCCAUUGGAGAAUCUGGAUCUUGACAUUCACAGUAUUCUGCAGUAUGCAAGACACAAGUUUCACCUUGGAUGGAGACUCAUUUAUCCUUCAUAUAAACUCUAUGGAGUACACCGUGAGAUUUGAUUAUGUAAUUUACCACAGCAAUACAUUUGUGAGUUCUUUAAAGUAGGAAAUUUUUGGUGAAUCCUGAGGACACAUCUUUUAAGAAUCAUAUUUUGGGGUCCUGAGUCACGCGGAAGACCCCAAAUCACCCCACUGCACACAGGCAGGUCUGCCCACACCCUGCCGAGGUCCCCAGUCACGCGGAACACAUGCCAAAUCAGCCCGCUGCAGACAGGCAGGUCUGUGCAUGCCCUACUGAGGUCCUGAGUCACGUGGAAGACACUGAAUCACCCCACUGCAGACAGGGAGCCACCUGAUUCCACAUUACCAAGGCGCAGAGGACACCAGACCACCAGACCAAGGUACUGAGUCCCACUGUUCCCGGCCCAGAGGUAGGGGCUUCUGAGCUGUCGUCCCACUGCUCCUGGUCCAGAGGAAGGGGCUUCCCAGUCACCAUCCCUCCUGCUGCUCCCAGCCCACAGGAAAGGGCUUUUGGGCCACCUUCUGUCCCACUGCUCCUGGCCCAGAGGAAGGGGCUUCCAGGCCACCAUCCCUCCCACUGCUCCAUGCCCAGAGGGAGGGGCUUCUGAGCCACCAUCCCACUGCUCCUGGUCCAGAGGAAGGGGUUUCCUGGCCACCAUCCCUCUGGCUGCUCCCAGCCCACAGGAAAGGGCUUUUGGGUCACCAUCCCUACCGCUCCUCCCAGCCCCUGUCCCACCUCACCCAGCUCAGAGGAGGUAAUCCGUGCAGGCGCUAACAGCCCCCGCCCCAGUCAAAAUGAGAAAACACAUAAAUAAGUCUCAAAACCAGACUUCCAGAUCACCUACAGCAACCCCAAAGGGAAAUGAGAUGGAACACUCUGAUACUCAACCACCUGGACCCACUGAACUGGCAACAAAAGAGGAUCUGGAAAAAAAUGAAAUCAGAAAUAAUUUCUAAGAUAACAGGAGAAAUUGUGCCCUUAGUGCAAGACAUGAUUAAUAAAUCUAGAGAGAAGCUGAGGAACAUGAUGGAAUCCCAACAUAAGAAACAAAUGGAAUCCAUAAAACAGAUGCAAAUAGAUUUCCAGGACAUGAAAAACUCCACUGAAAGUCUACACAGCAGAAUGAGCCAAUGUGAGGACAGAAUUUCAGAUACAGAAGAUAACAUUGCAAUUGGUGACCAGGAAAAGAAAAAUUGCUUCAGAAUUAUAAGGGAACAUGAGAAAUCAAUCCAGCAGCUGCUAGAUGAUGCAAAAAAGAAUAACAUAAGACUGAUUGGGCUCAAUGAAGAAACAGGAGAGAGUGCAGAUGACAUAAAAAAAUCUCUUCACAGAAAUAAUGGCAGAAAACUUCCCAAUCAGGGGAAAAGAGCUUGACAUACAGAUAAGUGAGGCAUAUAGGACUCCACAUAGCCUUGAUCAAAAAAAAUCUACACAUAGGCAUAUAAUUGUUAAGAUUCCAGAAACACAACAGAAGAACAAAGUUCUCCAAGCAGUCAGAGAAAAGAAACAAAUCACAUACAAAGGAAAGCCCAUCAGAAUCACAGCAGACUUCUCAACACAAA